Chelonia mydas (Green sea turtle) is the source of this 627-nucleotide long non-coding RNA. RefSeq lists it as uncharacterized. The transcript has 3 exons. The record is from RefSeq and is a predicted model, not a curated record. Lineage: Eukaryota; Metazoa; Chordata; Testudines; Cheloniidae.
UACCAUGUACCCUGUAGGUUUGCUCUACCACAAAACCUUCCCAGCAUCUACAUCUGCCACCGAUGGAAUAUCUGAGCUGCUGAAUACAUGGAUAAUAACCAAAGGGUAUGCCAUGUAGAUUUGCUCCUCCCCACCAGCAUCUGCCACUGAUCAGAAAAGAGACAAAUAAUUAAGGCUGUUGUGAAAUUCACCAACUGAAAUCCCGCUUUUAAUGCUGGUGCCCUUGGUCAGCUUUUGAUCAGGUGCCCUCUUUAUACAGUAACACGUGAGAUACUUUCAUUGGAAGAAGUAAAAUAAGGAUAACACUUUGCUCCUGUGCAGAACUGUUCUUCAAAGUCAUUUGUCGUUCUGUUUCCUUUAUCCUUCCCCUGCAUGAAAGCAACUAUCCCUCAAGCUGUCACAGCCAGCUAUAUGAAAGUUAAACAAGAUGGUGCUCCAUCCUCCUAACUGGCCAUUAGGCUACUGCGACAGUGGCCGGAGCCCUGGACCCUUUAAAUUGCUGCCAGAGCCCCGGGCAGUGUGGAAGGGCUGGCUGGAAAGGCUCACCCCCAGCUCAUCCCUUUUACCCGAGGCUCUGCCCCUUCUGCCUGAGGCCCUGCCCCUUCCAGGGGCCCAUAGCCGGGCCCC